This 2909-nucleotide ribosomal RNA is filed under the name Klebsiella pneumoniae. RNAcentral's name for it is "bacterial LSU rRNA". It matches the Rfam family "Bacterial large subunit ribosomal RNA". The record is from RNAcentral. Lineage: Bacteria; Pseudomonadati; Pseudomonadota; Gammaproteobacteria; Enterobacterales; Enterobacteriaceae.
GAGGUUAAGCGACUAAGCGUACACGGUGGAUGCCCUGGCAGUCAGAGGCGAUGAAGGACGUGCUAAUCUGCGAAAAGCGUCGGUAAGGUGAUAUGAACCGUUAUAACCGGCGAUGUCCGAAUGGGGAAACCCAGUGCAAUUCGUUGCACUAUCGUUAACUGAAUACAUAGGUUAACGAGGCGAACCGGGGGAACUGAAACAUCUAAGUACCCCGAGGAAAGAAAUCAACCGAGAUUCCCCCCGGCGAGCGAACGGGGAGCAGCCCAGAGUCUGAAUCAGCUGUGUGUUAGUGGAACGGUCUGGAAAGUCCGACGGUACAGGGUGAUAGUCCCGUACACCAAAAUGCACAGGCUGUGAACUCGAAGAGUAGGGCGGGACACGUGGUAUCCUGUCUGAAUAUGGGGGGACCAUCCUCCAAGGCUAAAUACUCCUGACUGACCGAUAGUGAACCAGUACCGUGAGGGAAAGGCGAAAAGAACCCCGGCGAGGGGAGUGAAAAAGAACCUGAAACCGUGUACGUACAAGCAGUGGGAGCACCUUCGGGUGUGACUGCGUACCUUUUGUAUAAUGGGUCAGCGACUUAUAUUCUGUAGCAAGGUUAACCGUAUAGGGGAGCCGCAGGGAAACCGAGUCUUAACUGGGCGUUAAGUUGCAGGGUAUAGACCCGAAACCCGGUGAUCUAGCCAUGGGCAGGUUGAAGGUUGGGUAACACUAACUGGAGGACCGAACCGACUAAUGUUGAAAAAUUAGCGGAUGACUUGUGGCUGGGGGUGAAAGGCCAAUCAAACCGGGAGAUAGCUGGUUCUCCCCGAAAGCUAUUUAGGUAGCGCCUCGUGAAUUCAUCUUCGGGGGUAGAGCACUGUUUCGGCUAGGGGGUCAUCCCGACUUACCAACCCGAUGCAAACUACGAAUACCGAAGAAUGUUAUCACGGGAGACACACGGCGGGUGCUAACGUCCGUCGUGAAGAGGGAAACAACCCAGACCGCCAGCUAAGGUCCCAAAGUCAUGGUUAAGUGGGAAACGAUGUGGGAAGGCACAGACAGCCAGGAUGUUGGCUUAGAAGCAGCCAUCAUUUAAAGAAAGCGUAAUAGCUCACUGGUCGAGUCGGCCUGCGCGGAAGAUGUAACGGGGCUAAACCAUGCACCGAAGCUGCGGCAGCGACACUAUGUGUUGUUGGGUAGGGGAGCGUUCUGUAAGCCUGCGAAGGUGACCUGUGAGGGUUGCUGGAGGUAUCAGAAGUGCGAAUGCUGACAUAAGUAACGAUAAAGCGGGUGAAAAGCCCGCUCGCCGGAAGACCAAGGGUUCCUGUCCAACGUUAAUCGGGGCAGGGUGAGUCGACCCCUAAGGCGAGGCCGAAAGGCGUAGUCGAUGGGAAACAGGUUAAUAUUCCUGUACUUGGUGUUACUGCGAAGGGGGGACGGAGAAGGCUAUGUUAGCCGGGCGACGGUUGUCCCGGUUUAAGCAUGUAGGCUGGUUAUCCAGGCAAAUCCGGAUAAUCAAGGCUGAGGUGUGAUGACGAGGCACUACGGUGCUGAAGUAACAAAUGCCCUGCUUCCAGGAAAAGCCUCUAAGCAUCAGGUAACAUCAAAUCGUACCCCAAACCGACACAGGUGGUCAGGUAGAGAAUACCAAGGCGCUUGAGAGAACUCGGGUGAAGGAACUAGGCAAAAUGGUGCCGUAACUUCGGGAGAAGGCACGCUGGUGUGUAGGUGAAGUCCCUGCGGAUGGAGCUGAGACCAGUCGAAGAUACCAGCUGGCUGCAACUGUUUAUUAAAAACACAGCACUGUGCAAACACGAAAGUGGACGUAUACGGUGUGACGCCUGCCCGGUGCCGGAAGGUUAAUUGAUGGGGUUAUCCGUAAGGAGAAGCUCUUGAUCGAAGCCCCGGUAAACGGCGGCCGUAACUAUAACGGUCCUAAGGUAGCGAAAUUCCUUGUCGGGUAAGUUCCGACCUGCACGAAUGGCGUAAUGAUGGCCAGGCUGUCUCCACCCGAGACUCAGUGAAAUUGAACUCGCUGUGAAGAUGCAGUGUACCCGCGGCAAGACGGAAAGACCCCGUGAACCUUUACUAUAGCUUGACACUGAACAUUGAGCCUUGAUGUGUAGGAUAGGUGGGAGGCUUUGAAGCGUGGACGCCAGUCUGCGUGGAGCCAACCUUGAAAUACCACCCUUUAAUGUUUGAUGUUCUAACGUUGGCCCCUUACCGGGGUUGCGGACAGUGUCUGGUGGGUAGUUUGACUGGGGCGGUCUCCUCCCAAAGCGUAACGGAGGAGCACGAAGGUUAGCUAAUCCUGGUCGGACAUCAGGAGGUUAGUGCAAUGGCAUAAGCUAGCUUGACUGCGAGCGUGACGGCGCGAGCAGGUGCGAAAGCAGGUCAUAGUGAUCCGGUGGUUCUGAAUGGAAGGGCCAUCGCUCAACGGAUAAAAGGUACUCCGGGGAUAACAGGCUGAUACCGCCCAAGAGUUCAUAUCGACGGCGGUGUUUGGCACCUCGAUGUCGGCUCAUCACAUCCUGGGGCUGAAGUAGGUCCCAAGGGUAUGGCUGUUCGCCAUUUAAAGUGGUACGCGAGCUGGGUUUAGAACGUCGUGAGACAGUUCGGUCCCUAUCUGCCGUGGGCGCUGGAGAAUUGAGGGGGGCUGCUCCUAGUACGAGAGGACCGGAGUGGACGCAUCACUGGUGUUCGGGUUGUCAUGCCAAUGGCACUGCCCGGUAGCUAAAUGCGGAAGAGAUAAGUGCUGAAAGCAUCUAAGCACGAAACUUGCCCCGAGAUGAGUUCUCCCUGAGACUUUAAGUCUCCUGAAGGAACGUUGAAGACGACGACGUUGAUAGGCCGGGUGUGUAAGCGCAGCGAUGCGUUGAGCUAACCGGUACUAAUGAACCGUGAGGCUUAACCUUACAACGCCGAAG